RNAcentral lists this long non-coding RNA (164 nucleotides) under Mustela putorius furo (domestic ferret). RNAcentral describes it as "lncRNA (ENSMPUG00000028072.1)". Lineage: Eukaryota; Metazoa; Chordata; Mammalia; Carnivora; Mustelidae. The record is from RNAcentral.
AAUUUCCCCUGCUUAGGUUUCAUUCAGAGAGAGAAAGUGAGUUGGAGAGAGAGCACGAGCUGGGAGAGCGGUAGAGGAAGAAGCAGACAGAGUCAAACCUCUGAAUAUGGCUUUAUAAGCUCAGUGGGUAAAUUCUCUUUUCUUUGUUACCACAAAACCCAGAG